AUUGAACGCUGGCGGCAUGCCUUACACAUGCAAGUCGAACGGCAGCACGGGAGCAAUCCUGGUGGCGAGUGGCGAACGGGUGAGUAAUAUAUCGGAACGUGCCCGGUCGUGGGGGAUAACGUAGCGAAAGCUACGCUAAUACCGCAUACGAUCUACGGAUGAAAGCGGGGGAUCGCAAGACCUCGCGCGAUUGGAGCGGCCGAUAUCAGAUUAGGUAGUUGGUGAGGUAAAGGCUCACCAAGCCGACGAUCUGUAGCUGGUCUGAGAGGACGACCAGCCACACUGGGACUGAGACACGGCCCAGACUCCUACGGGAGGCAGCAGUGGGGGAAUUUUUGGUACGAAAUAGGGUCGGCGAAGA
This 361-nucleotide ribosomal RNA is filed under the name uncultured bacterium. RNAcentral's name for it is "bacterial SSU rRNA". It matches the Rfam family "Bacterial small subunit ribosomal RNA", at positions 30 to 392 of the family's 1533-position model. The record is from RNAcentral.